Felis catus (domestic cat) is the source of this 46-nucleotide non-coding RNA. The record is from Rfam. NCBI's taxonomy places the organism in Eukaryota, Metazoa, Chordata, Mammalia, Carnivora, Felidae.
AGUUUGGCUUUUUUAGAAGCCACCUAUAAGUUAUAUCAUGCAGUAU